Molecule: ribosomal RNA, 274 nt
Filed under: uncultured bacterium
Lineage: Bacteria
Description: partial 16S ribosomal RNA
Rfam family: Bacterial small subunit ribosomal RNA
Source: RNAcentral
AUACGUAGGUGGCAAGCGUUGUCCGGAUUUACUGGGCGUAAAGGGCGCGCAGGCGGCUCAUCAAGUCCGGGGUGAAAGCUCCCGGCUCAACCGGGAGAGGUCUCCGGAAACUGAUGGGCUUGAGGGGAGCAGAGGAGAGCGGAAUUCCCGGUGUAGCGGUGAUAUGCGUAGAUAUCGGGAGGAACACCAGUGGCGAAGGCGGCUCUCUGGGCUCUCCCUGACGCUGAGGCGCGAAAGCGUGGGGAGCAAACCGGAUUAGAAACCCCAGUAGUCC